Long non-coding RNA from Neofelis nebulosa (Clouded leopard), 2646 nucleotides. RefSeq lists it as uncharacterized. The transcript is spliced from 2 exons. The record is from RefSeq and is a predicted model, not a curated record. NCBI's taxonomy places the organism in Eukaryota, Metazoa, Chordata, Mammalia, Carnivora, Felidae.
ACUUUCUUGGCAUGAUACCUAAGACAGAAACCAUACAAGCAAACACUGAUUUCAAAAAUAGAUAACCUCUAUUAAGGGAUUACUGUGUGCUGAGGACUUGUGUUAUCUCAUUUAACCUGCACCUCAAUCCUGUGAAGUAGGUAUGAUUACUAUCACCCUUUAUGAAUGAGAAAAACCGGGCACAGGGAAGUGAAUUACCUUACUUAAGGUCACACAGCCAGGAAGUGACUGAGCCAAGAUCUGAGGCCCAAAUGUGGGACUCCAAAGCCUGAAAACCUAAUGGGAUAUGUUCCAAAAUAGUAUUUACUGUAUAUACCGGCCAUUUCUUCAACACAGGGUGCUGUGAAAGCCAGACGAGUUCUUGCGUGUGUGAGUGCUCGGUCAAGUGGAAAGAACUACUUAGGGCCUCACGUCACUGCUUGCCAAGGUGGGACAAGGAAGAGUAGCCAGCGUCCAGUCCAUGCCUCCCCCGCAGCCUCCUCUUUCCUUUCUCACUCUGUCUUCUUUCGUUUAUUUUUAAUUUUUUUCAUGUUUAUUUAUUUUCAGAGAGAGAGAGAGAGGGAGAGAGAAUCCCAAACAGGCCUGACACCGACAGCAAAGAGCCUGCUGCACAGCUUGAUCUCACAAACCCCAAGAUCAUGACCUGAGCCAAGAUGAAGAGUCAGACGCUUAACCAACUGAGCCACCCGGCGCCCUUGUCUUCUUUCGUUUAAACUGUGCUGCUCAGUUGCAUGGAACCCCCUCAGCUAAUCCUACGGCACAAGGUAUGAUUAUAUGGAUAUACACAGAUAAUGGACUUUUAGAAAAAUUGGGGAUUGUACUGUAAGUAUUGUUUUGAAAUCACCCUUUAGUAUUUUAGACAUAAGUAUGUUUGGUCCUCACUCACGGAUUUUUCUGUAUAGAAUCAUUCUUUUGGGGAGCUCUCGCCUGCAUCAUCCACUGCUGUUGCCAACUCUGGGUUGGAACUUGUGGAUUUUGGUUGGACCCACCUAAACCCAACUGUGAAGGGUCCAGCUCCUGGACGGAGGCAGAAAUGAGAAGGCCUUUUCCCUGGAAAUCAGUGAAUGGAUGCUUUGCAAUAGUUUGCUAGAGUAUUCCUCCAAAAGUUAACUUCCAUUUUUCUUUUGGAACCUAGUUACAUGAUCAAGGUGGCAUUCCAACCCAGUAGGCUCACUAAAUGCUUGGUAAAUUGCAUUGGAGUAUGUAUUAGUCUGCUGGGGCCACCAUAACAAAAUACCACAAACUGUGGCUCAAACAACAGCAGAAAUUUAUUUUCUCCUAGUCCUGGAGGAGGAUGUCUGGGAUCAGGGUGCCCACGUGGUCGUUCUCUGGUGAGAAUUCUCACCUCAGGUUGCUGUUGGCUGCCUUCUCGCUGUGUCCUCACAUGACAUUUUCUUUGUGUGCCUGUGUGUGUGUGUGGUGGGGUGGGCAGUGAAGAGGAAGCUCUUUUUUAGGACCCUAACCUUAUCAGGUCAGGGCCCUACUCUUAUGACCUCAUAGAACCUUACAUUUACUUUCUUAGAGGGCUCUUGUCCAAAUACAGUCACACUGAGGGUUAAGGCUUCAGUAUAUGAAUUUUAGGGGGACACAGACAUUCAAUCCAUAGAAUGUGUCUGUGGUUGAGCCAAGAUUAGCCCUAAGGAUUUUUUUCUAGACGGAAUUCAAUUCUGUUGGUUGGGGGUGGCGGGGAAACUCUAUGAAGGGAAAACAGAUGACCACUCUGGUUGGGGUCAUAUCUCCUUUUACUGUCUCAUUUAAGAGGAAUACUCUUCUAUAAAACUGUAAGAAAAAUUGAUCAGAAAAUAAAGUGAAGUGAGAGCUUUGUGGUUCCUCAUGUAUUGAUUAAUACUUGGGGAAAAUGUAAUUCAAUCAAUUUAAGUCAAAUUUAAAUCACUAUUUGCUGAUCUCUUACCAUAUGUAAGGUACUGUCCAGUACAUUGGGGGCAGUAGAAAGAGGUCAACAUCGUGGCUGCCUUCAAAUGCUCAUGCAUUCAGUGGUUACCACACCUGGUAAACCAACUGGGAAAUAGUUUAAAAUAUUCCAAUUUGAUACAAUCAUAUUGAAACCCUGUUUGGCAGUGUCUACUAAAGCUAAAUAUAGGACUCGUCUCUGACCCGUGAGCACCUUCUUUCCUAUAUAUGCAUCCAACAGAAAUGCAUAUACAUGUGCACCAAAAGACAUGUAUAAGAAUGUUCAUUGCAGCACUGUUUGCAACAGCCCCUAAUUGGAAAUAACCUCAAUGUCUAUCCACAGAACAGCAGUGAGAAUGAGCAAGCCACAAAUAUAGUGACAGCAUAGACUUAACAAACGUGAUAUUGAGCAUAGAAAGCCAGACACAGAAAAUUAAGUAUUGUAUAGUCCCAUUUGUAUCAAGUUCAAAAAAAGUCAAAACCAACCUGUGCUGUUCGAAGUCAAGAUGCAGGCUAACCUUGGUGGUGGGGAGGGCAGAGAAGAGGCAGAGUCUCGAAAAAGAACAUGAAAGGGAUUCUGAUAUGCUGCCAGGAUGUUCUAUUUCUUGAUCUGAUCAAUUAGCUGGGUAUGUUCACUAUGUAAAAACUCUUCAAUAAAACAGGUAUGAUUUUUACCUUUUUCCUUAUGUAUGCUGUUUGUCCUUAAAAAAUACAAAUACAGAUUUCUAAGCCUUA